GACGAACGCUGGCGGCGUGCUUAACACAUGCAAGUCGAACGGAAAGGCCCCUUUGGGGGUACUCGAGUGGCGAACGGGUGAGUAACACGUGAGUAACCUGCCCUUGACUUCGGGAUAACUUCAGGAAACUGGGGCUAAUACCGGCUAGGAAUCCUUGCUGCAUGGUGGGGGUUGGAAAGCUUCGGCGGUUUUGGAUGGACUCGCGGCUUAUCAGCUUGUUGGUGGGGUAGUGGCUUACCAAGGCUUUGACGGGUAGCCGGCCUGAGAGGGCGACCGGCCACAUUGGGACUGAGAUACGGCCCAGACUCCUACGGGAGGCAGCAGUGGGGAAUAUUGCACAAUGGGCGGAAGCCUGAUGCAGCAACACCGCGUGCGGGAUGACGGCCUUCGGGUUGUAAACCGCUUUCAGCAGGGGCGAAGCUUGUGGUGACGGUACCUGCAGAAGAAGCACCGGCUAACUACGUG
Molecule: ribosomal RNA, 465 nt
Filed under: uncultured bacterium
Lineage: Bacteria
Description: partial 16S ribosomal RNA
Rfam family: Bacterial small subunit ribosomal RNA
Source: RNAcentral